GGCAGGCACAGGUGGCUCAUCUAGAAGCAGCCGUCUGUCAUGCGUGUGGCUGCCUGUACAUGGGCUGCCCUGUGC
Molecule: microRNA precursor, 75 nt
Filed under: Otolemur garnettii (small-eared galago)
Lineage: Eukaryota; Metazoa; Chordata; Mammalia; Primates; Galagidae
Description: miRNA (ENSOGAG00000034395.1)
Source: RNAcentral